CUACGGGUGGCAGCAGUGGGGAAUAUUGCACAAUGGGCGCAAGCCUGAUGCAGCCAUGCCGCGUGUAUGAAGAAGGCCUUCGGGUUGUAAAGUACUUUCAGCGGGGAGGAAGGGAGUAAAGUUAAUACCUUUGCUCAUUGACGUUACCCGCAGAAGAAGCACCGGCUAACUCCGUGCCAGCAGCCGCGGUAAUACGGAGGGUGCAAGCGAUAAUCGGAAUUACUGGGCGUAAAGCGCACGCAGGCGGUUUGUUAAGUCAGAUGUGAAAUCCCCGGGCUCAACCUGGGAACUGCAUCUGAUACUGGCAAGCUUGAGUCUCGUAGAGGGGGGUAGAAUUCCAGGUGUAGCGGUGAUAUGCGUAGAGAUCUGGAGGAAUACCGGUGGCGAAGGCGGCCCCCUGGACGAAGACUGACGCUCAGGUGCGAAAGCGUGGGGAGCAAACAGGAUUAGAUACCCCGGUAGUC
Molecule: ribosomal RNA, 464 nt
Filed under: uncultured bacterium
Lineage: Bacteria
Description: partial 16S ribosomal RNA
Rfam family: Bacterial small subunit ribosomal RNA
Source: RNAcentral